UACGUAGGGGGCAAGCGUUGUCCGGAAUCAUUGGGCGUAAAGAGCGCGUAGGCGGCCCUGUAAGUCCGCUGUGAAAGUCAAGGGCUCAACCCUUGGAUGCCGGUGGAUACUGCAGGGCUAGAGUCCGGAAGAGGCGAGUGGAAUUCCUGGUGUAGCGGUGAAAUGCGCAGAUAUCAGGAGGAACACCGAUGGCGAAGGCAGCUCGCUGGGACGGUACUGACGCUGAGGAGCGAAAGCAUGGGUAGCGAACAGG
This 253-nucleotide ribosomal RNA is filed under the name uncultured bacterium. Its description in RNAcentral is "partial 16S ribosomal RNA". It matches the Rfam family "Bacterial small subunit ribosomal RNA", at positions 524 to 776 of the family's 1533-position model. The record is from RNAcentral.